This 253-nucleotide ribosomal RNA is filed under the name uncultured bacterium. Its description in RNAcentral is "partial 16S ribosomal RNA". It matches the Rfam family "Bacterial small subunit ribosomal RNA", at positions 524 to 776 of the family's 1533-position model. The record is from RNAcentral.
GACAGAGGGUGCAAACGUUGUUCGGAAUUACUGGGCGUAAAGCGUGCGUAGACGGCUAUCUAAGUCGGGUGUGAAAGCCCCGGGCUCAACCUGGGAAUUGCAUUCGAGACUGAAUAGCUAGGGUGCGGUAGAGGGAAGCGGAAUUUCCGGUGUAGCGGUGAAAUGCGUAGAUAUCGGAAGGAACAUCAGUGGCGAAAGCGGCUUCCUGGACCAGCACCGACGUUCAGGCACGAAAGCGUGGGGAGCAAACAGG